CGGAAUUUCGGAGAAGCACUGGGUCACUUUGACUGAUAUGAGUGCCAUCUAUCAGAUAAAUACCACAACUUUCGGUGGGUUUCUGAAACUAUAGAAAUCUACCAUAAAUCUCGAAGCAUAUUCGAAUAUCAUCGAGUCGGUCGGAUGAUCGAAUCAUUUUGAGAUCCGUGACCCGAUCGUUCUUGUAUAGGUUAUAAUCGAAUCAAAAUGAUUCGAUCGAUCGUGAUCGACACAGCCCUAAUUCGACUUGCUGCACUAGUGCGGAAUGUCUCACGUAUUGUUCAAGGAAACUUUCAAUUUAGAUCACACGUCUUUUUUCAUCAUGCAUUAGUUUUCAUUUUAAAUAGGUUGCCAAUCCACAAACGGCGCACCGCGAAAAAAUUCAUCAGAUGGAAAAGAGUUAGACAUCUGAUAAAAUACCUCCCCGAAUCAACAGGAUACAGUAAUUGUGAGAAUCAUAUCACAAUAACUCCACAUACUGUUAACUCUAAAUAGGCAUCAUAUGUUUAAAUUGAUCUGAUCACUUUAUCUCAAAAACUGAAAAGCUACAUGAAAAUAUAUAUAUAAAAAAUAUUGUAGCUUACACACUCUGCAGAUGAGUAACAAAGGGUUUUGUUGUUACAUGGAAAAAUCUUAUUGAAAAAUAUGCCUUUAAAUUAUUGAUACCUAAUUUUUGAAAAACACUGCGUAAUAAAAUACAAAUAAACUUUUCUUAAUUAUUUAUUUUUGUUAUAUUACAUAACUUAUUGUCUGCUACCUCUACCAAAUCCUUGUCUCUGAAAAAAAAAAAAAAUUACAUUUCCAUUUUUUCAACAUUCAUUGCAAGCUUAGAAGAAAAAAAAAAGGAACACAAGCAAAGUUAAAUGUAUGAAGCCAAAAAUUUUAGGGCCUCGGUUCGAGUUGAUGUUCCACAUAGGUCAUGGGUAUUAAGUUUCCGCCAACAUUUUACUGUUGAAGGUUUAUUAUGAAUCAUUUGUGAUAAAUGUGAAUCUCUUUCAAAGAGAUUCAUUAUUGGACAUUCAACUAUUCAUUAAGACGUGCCCAAUUGAUGUCCAAACAAGUGAUAGAGAAUUUGACUUUUCAACUUACAAAUUCUAUAGCAGAAGAACCAGCUCCAACUUCAGCUUUCUUGUCAGAAUCUCCUGGUCUUUCCAUUCUCCUAUAACCCAUUCUAUCAUCAGGCUUGGAACCCUCAGACCUCAUAGGAUUAGGCCUAGCUCUUGCAGUUUCCGUCCUUGUUUGUCUUUUGAGGGUAUAAGGGACAAUUUCAGGAGGCAAAUUCAAGAAGGUCCUUAAAUAAUCUAUGCCUGGAUUGGUUAGCAC
Long non-coding RNA from Harmonia axyridis, 1323 nucleotides. RefSeq lists it as uncharacterized. The transcript is spliced from 2 exons. NCBI's taxonomy places the organism in Eukaryota, Metazoa, Arthropoda, Insecta, Coleoptera, Coccinellidae. The record is from RefSeq and is a predicted model, not a curated record.